This is a long non-coding RNA of Phodopus roborovskii (desert hamster), 1024 nucleotides long. RefSeq lists it as uncharacterized. The record is from RefSeq and is a predicted model, not a curated record. The transcript has 2 exons. Lineage: Eukaryota; Metazoa; Chordata; Mammalia; Rodentia; Cricetidae.
CCGGCGCUGAGCAGAUCCCAGCCGGCUCGCCCGCGCGCGCCCGCGGCCCGCGCGCCCCGCUAUACAUACGGCAUACGUCGCGCGGCGCUCGCGCCCGCGCAGCCUAGCCUGCUGGGCCGGGGGCGGGGCCACGGCGCGCCGCGCUUCCGCUUUCCACGCCCCAGCCGGUGACCGGUUCGAUCUGGCUCGGGCCACCCUGACACCUUCGCUGUGAGAGCGAGGGGGAACUGGGGCGGCGGCGGGCGGGGAAGUGACGGCCCCGGGGAACAAAGGGCGAGGCCGAGCAGAUGGCGGCGCUCUCCCCCUCCCCGCCCGUGCUGCCACUGUCACGUCCCCUCGGCUCACACAGGAAUUAAGUCAUCGCCACCACCUGACGCGUGUAACCAAUCUGCUGAGAGCUGAACAAGCGCCCCUCCUCACCAUCCCCCAGAACUGGUCCGAAACAGGAUUGAACCGCUUCUAACAAAGGGUGGAAACUUAGAAAACAAGCUUGGAGUCGCCUAUAUUUCCACAUUGUAACCACUUAAACAACAGAUUGCGAAUUUCAGGACCCCCUCUCGUUUUGACAACGGCUUUAUCUUCGUCUUGUACCAAAAAACCAAAUCCUAUGUACCAUAUACUUUACAUUUCCAUCUGUCUGCCUUGGGUUUCAUUGAAUCCACGUUCCAAAGUUAGACAUGAUGCUCAAGAAGAAAAUUGGUGACCCCGAAUGCUUUUUAAAUUGACUUAAUAUGUUUGCAUAAUGAUAGAUAUUAUCCUUUAAAAAUAAAUGAUGCUUGAUGUACAUUUUAAAAGGAAUUGGGAGAAAUAGGGAAAAAACACGUGGGGUGUUGAUGCCAUAUGUCAAAAUAAGCCAUGGAAGCCCUUUAUCAAAGAACAAUAAUCAAGUGUUUAAAGUCUUUUGCAUGUGGGUAUUAAAAUCAGGUACAUCUAGCAACCUUCUAAAAAAUGUCACUACUGUUCUUUAUUGGAGCUCAGUUUUGGAUCUAAGAUUGUAAAAUAAAGGAGAAAAUCCAAUACUGGA